This 62-nucleotide transfer RNA is filed under the name Neogrollea notabilis. RNAcentral describes it as "partial tRNA-Phe". Lineage: Eukaryota; Viridiplantae; Streptophyta; Jungermanniopsida; Jungermanniales; Lepidoziaceae. The record is from RNAcentral.
GCCAAAAUACCUCAGUUGGUAGAGCAGAGGACUGAAACUCCUCGGGUCACCAGUUCAAAUAC